This 253-nucleotide ribosomal RNA is filed under the name uncultured bacterium. Its description in RNAcentral is "partial 16S ribosomal RNA". It matches the Rfam family "Bacterial small subunit ribosomal RNA", at positions 524 to 776 of the family's 1533-position model. The record is from RNAcentral.
UACGGAGGGUGCGAGCGUUGUCCGGAAUCACUGGGCGUAAAGGGCGCGUAGGCGGCGCGGGAAGUCCGUGGUGAAAGCCCGAGGCUCAACUUCGGGUCGGCCAUGGAUACUCCUGGGCUCGAGCACUGUAGAGGCAGGUGGAAUUCCGGGUGUAGCGGUGGAAUGCGUAGAGAUCCGGAAGAACACCGGUGGCGAAGGCGGCCUGCUGGGCAGUAGCUGACGCUGAUGCGCGACAGCGUGGGGAGCAAACAGG